GGCAGCAAGAAAAAUGAGGGACUUUCAGGGGCAGCUGUGUUUUACUAACCCAGUCAUAAUGCCCCUAAAAAUCCUUAUUGUUCUUGCAAUGGUCAA
Molecule: microRNA precursor, 96 nt
Organism: Accipiter nisus (Eurasian sparrowhawk)
Lineage: Eukaryota; Metazoa; Chordata; Aves; Accipitriformes; Accipitridae
Product: microRNA 365b
Source: Ensembl